UUUAAGCUUCCUACGGGAGGCUGCAGUGGGGAAUCUUGCGCAAUGUGGCGAAAGCCUGACGCAGCCAUGCCGCGUGAAUGAUGAAGGUCUUAGGAUUGUAAAAUUCUUUCACCGGGGACGAUAAUGACGGUACCCGGAGAAGAAGCCCCGGCUAACUUCGUGCCAGCAGCCGCGGUAAUACGAAGGGGGCUAGCGUUGCUCGGAAUUACUGGGCGUAAAGGGAGCGUAGGCGGACAUUUAAGUCAGGGGUGAAAUCCCGGGGCUCAACCUCGGAAUUGCCUUUGAUACUGGGUGUCUUGAGUAUGAGAGAGGUGUGUGGAACUCCGAGUGUAGAGGUGAAAUUCGUAGAUAUUCGGAAGAACACCAGUGGCGAAGGCGACACACUGGCUCAUUACUGACGCUGAGGCUCGAAAGCGUGGGGAGCAAACAGGAUUAGAUACCCUUGUAGUCGAAUUCUU
RNAcentral lists this ribosomal RNA (458 nucleotides) under uncultured bacterium. RNAcentral describes it as "bacterial SSU rRNA". It matches the Rfam family "Bacterial small subunit ribosomal RNA", at positions 329 to 803 of the family's 1533-position model. The record is from RNAcentral.